RNAcentral lists this ribosomal RNA (388 nucleotides) under uncultured bacterium. RNAcentral describes it as "partial 16S ribosomal RNA". It matches the Rfam family "Bacterial small subunit ribosomal RNA", at positions 523 to 918 of the family's 1533-position model. The record is from RNAcentral.
AUACGUAGGUGGCCAGCGUUAUCCGGAAUUAUUGGGCGUAAAGAGUGAGCAGGCGGUUAAUUAAGUCUGAGGUUAAAGCGUGGGGCUCAACCCCAUAAAGCCUUGGAAACUGAUUGACUAGAGUACGGGAGAAGUGAAGGGAACUCCAUGUGUAGCGGUGAAAUGCGUAGAUAUAUGGAAGAACACCAGUGGCGAAGGCGCUUCACUAGCCCGAAACUGACGCUCAGUCACGAAAGCGUGGGUAGCAAAUAGGAUUAGAUACCCUAGUAGUCCACGCUGUAAACGAUGACAACUAAAUAUUGCCGCGAGGCAGUGUUGAAGCUAACGCAUUAAGUUGUCCGCCUGGGGAGUACGGUCGCAAGACUGAAACUUAAAGGAAUUGACGGGG